This 2027-nucleotide long non-coding RNA is filed under the name Homo sapiens (human). Its description in RNAcentral is "non-protein coding lnc-TMEM168-1:1". Lineage: Eukaryota; Metazoa; Chordata; Mammalia; Primates; Hominidae. The record is from RNAcentral.
AUGUGCCCAAAGGCUAGGCUGCUUUGUAGCUGGAGUAGUGCCCCUGUGGCCAGGGCGGGUAGGCAGGGGCAGCCUCAGAGUUGAUACCCAUGUGGAAGGGUCAGCAUCUGCUGGUCCCUGGUGGGCUCCGCCUUCAAUGUCAGGGCUACCACUUGGACCUGUUUAGUGAGCACUGGGGUCUUUUUGGAUGUCCUGAGCUCAGCGCUCCAGAAAAAUUUAAUAUUGCCCAAUAAAAAGCCUUGAGAAAGACAGAAUUGCUUGUGGAACAUGCAUGUUCCACCCCACCUGGACCCCAGAUUGUGCGCAUCUUCGAUGAGCUCUCAGAUUCCUUGUUCAGAGUGGCUGACUUGGAUGAACACAAAUGUGGAAUUAUGUCAAAGUUUGCAAAAAUUACUAGCUGAUUAAAAACAAAACAAAAACUAGGCAAGUGGCCUAACUGUUUAUGUUUGAUUUUGAAAUUAGUGGAAUCCAUCUAGACAAAGAAAAGUGUAAAAGAGCAGUGGACCUCAAUGUUAAAAUCUUGGAUUUGAGUAGUACAUGUCUUACGGCAAACAACUUUCCCAACAAGAUUGAGAAGCAUCUCUUACUAGAACACAUUCACCAUAACUUUUAUCUGAUGGGGAUCGUAUCAUAAUUGAUGGUCUCCAUGCAGAAGCACCAGGCGACUUGGUGUGAGAAGCUGCUUACAAAAUUUUUCUUCAUCCCUAUACUGGUCAGUUAAAAUGUUUAGAAGAAUUGCUCAGCAACAGAGAUCCUCUGCAAAAGUUGGUAGGGUAUUCUGUGUUUUCCAGCAGGGCUCUCCAAGGAACAAUAGUUAAAAAUUCAGAGACUGUCAUCCAGUUCCCUGAGAAACUCUCUGACAAACUUUCUGAAAGAACUUGAAAAGAUUUUGAGAUGAUACGACAGAUGAAAAGUGAAAAAUGAAACAGAAUUCUCAAAGUUCCAAAGUAAUGCCUUGGGACCCCCACUACCAGAGUGGUGUGAUUCAUGCACAAAGGUAUAAUAUUGACCCUGGCUUAUAUUGCCUGUUUUUCUCCCUUGGAGCAUGCAUGGAAGGCCUGAAUAUUUGGCUUAACAAACUGUUGGAGAUUUCCUUAUAUGCAGAGUAGCCUGCAAAAGGAGAGGUAUGGUGUGAAGAUGUCCGAAAACUGGCCAUCAUUCAUGAAUCUGAAGGACUGUUGGGGUGCAUUUACUUUGAUUUUUUUCAGCAAGCAGACAAACCACAUCAGGAUUGCCAUUUUCGAAUCCACAGAGGCAGAUUAAAGGAAGACAGAGACUAUCAACUCCCAGUCAUAGUUCUUAUGCUGAAUCUUCCCCAUUCCUCAAGGAGUUCACAAACUUUGCUAACUCCUGGAAUGAUGGAAAAUCUUGACCAUGAAAUGGGACAUGCUAUGCAUUCAAUGCUAGGACGUACUUCUUACCAACACAUCACCGGAACCAGGUGCCCCAUUGAUUUUGCAGGGGUUCCUUCUAUUCUAAUAGAGUACUUUGCAAAUGAUUAUUGAGUAACCAGUUUGCCAGACAAAAUUAGAAUGGGCAGCCACUGCCAAAAAAAUAUGGUGUCUCAGCUUUCUGAAUCUAAAAAAGUUUGUGCUGCAGCUGAUAUGAAACUUCAGGUCUUUUAUGCCCCUCUGGAUCAAAUCUACCAUAGGAAGCAUCCCCUGAGGAAUUCAACCACAGACAUUCUCAAGGAAACACAAGAGACAUUCUGUGGCUUACCAUAUGUUCCAAAUACUGCCUAGAAGCUGCGGAUCACCUACCUCAUGGGCUAUAGGGCCAAAUAUUACUCUUACCUCAUGUCUAGGGCAGUCACUUCCAUGGUUUGGAAGGAAUGUUUUCUACAAAAUCCUUUUAACAGGGCCACCAUGGAGUGCUAUUGCAGGGAGAUGCUGGCCCACAGUGGAGGCAAGAAGCCCAUGCUCAUGGUUGAAGGUGUGCUUCAAAAGUGCCCUUCUAUUGAUUACUUUGUAAGUGCCCUUGUUUCUGACUUGGAUCUGGACUUUGAAACUUUUGUCAUGGAUUAUGAA